GAUUGCAGUCUGCAACUCGACUGCAUGAAGCCGGAAUCGCUAGUAAUCGCGGAUCAGAAUGCCGCGGUGAAUACGUUCCCGGGUCUUGUACACACCGCCCGUCACACCAUGGGAGUCGGAAAUGCCCGAAGCCGGUGGCCUAACCGAUAAGGGAGGAGCCGUCGAAGGCAGGUCUGAUGACUGGGGUGAAGUCGUAACAAGGUAAC
This 206-nucleotide ribosomal RNA is filed under the name uncultured bacterium. RNAcentral describes it as "partial 16S ribosomal RNA". It matches the Rfam family "Bacterial small subunit ribosomal RNA", at positions 1296 to 1500 of the family's 1533-position model. The record is from RNAcentral.